GCCGGAGUGGCGGAAUAGGCAGACGCGUUGGACUCAAAAUCCAGCGGGGAUCACACCCCGUGUCGGUUCGAAUCCGACCUCCGGCACCA
RNAcentral lists this transfer RNA (89 nucleotides) under candidate division WS1 bacterium. RNAcentral describes it as "tRNA-Leu". It matches the Rfam family "tRNA". From Rfam's summary of the family: Transfer RNA (tRNA) molecules are approximately 80 nucleotides in length. Their secondary structure includes four short double-helical elements and three loops (D, anti-codon, and T loops). Further hydrogen bonds mediate the characteristic L-shaped molecular structure. tRNAs have two regions of fundamental functional importance: the anti-codon, which is responsible for specific mRNA codon recognition, and the 3' end, to which the tRNAs corresponding amino acid is attached (by aminoacyl-tRNA synthetases). tRNAs cope with the degeneracy of the genetic code in two manners: having more than one tRNA (with a specific anti-codon) for a particular amino acid; and 'wobble' base-pairing, i.e. permitting non-standard base-pairing at the 3rd anti-codon position. The record is from RNAcentral. Lineage: Bacteria; Bacillati.